AACGAACGCUGGCGGCAUGCCUAACACAUGCAAGUCGAACGAGACCUUCGGGUCUAGUGGCGCACGGGUGCGUAACGCGUGGGAACCUGCCCUUAGGUUCGGAAUAACUCCCCGAAAGGGGUGCUAAUACCGGAUAAUGUCUUCGGACCAAAGAUUUAUCGCCUUUGGAUGGGCCCGCGUUGGAUUAGCUAGUUGGUAGGGUAAAAGCCUACCAAGGCGACGAUCCAUAGCUGGUCUGAGAGGAUGAUCAGCCACACUGGGACUGAGACACGGCCCAGACUCCUACGGGAGGCAGCAGUGGGGAAUAGUGGACAAUGGGCGAAAGCCUGAUCCAGCAAUGCCGCGAGAGUGAUGAAGGCCUUAGGGUUGUAAAGCGCUUUUACCCGGGAUGAUAAUGACAGUACCGGGAGAAUAAGCUCCGGCUAACUCCGUG
This 433-nucleotide ribosomal RNA is filed under the name uncultured bacterium. RNAcentral's name for it is "partial 16S ribosomal RNA". It matches the Rfam family "Bacterial small subunit ribosomal RNA", at positions 29 to 507 of the family's 1533-position model. The record is from RNAcentral.